RNAcentral lists this long non-coding RNA (3670 nucleotides) under Chinchilla lanigera (long-tailed chinchilla). Its description in RNAcentral is "lncRNA (ENSCLAG00000028730.1)". Lineage: Eukaryota; Metazoa; Chordata; Mammalia; Rodentia; Chinchillidae. The record is from RNAcentral.
GGAAUAAUCAAGCAGCAAGGAACAGCAAUAAAAAUAGCACCAAUAGGGCUAGAAGUGCAGCUCAAUGGUAAAACACUUGUUAGCAUGCAUAGGCCCUUGGUUACAUUCCCAGCACUUAAAAAAAAAAAUCAAGCCUUUGAACUACCACCAACUACAACUUUUUUCCUCUGCCAGACGCUGAUCUAGGUGCAUGUCAUACUUUUAUUCCUUUAGUCCGCACAGUGACCUCACAGGGAAGGUAUUCGCACCAUCCCUCCCAAGGAGGCUGCCCCUAAGCUCCUCUUUUUGUGUAAGAAGGUGGGGAAUUUGAAGUUUCAAGAGAAAGAUAGAGGUACCUAGGGGUGGGACAAGUCGAGACAAAAAGCAAGUGCUUGGGAUUCCUGGCAGAGAAGGCGAUGGUCAUGCUCAAUGACAACUUUUGUUUCUAUUGCAUAUAACAUACAGCUGUGUGUCACAUAAUGACAUUUUGGUCAAUGAUGAGAUGCAUAUACAACACUAUUCUCAUAAGAAUAUAUCACCCAGUGAUAUAUUAUAUAUCAAUAUGUAUCAAUAAUAUAUAUGACAUAUGUAUUAUUUAAAUUCUAUAUAUGUGUAUAUAGUAUAAAUAGACAUUAUAUUAUUGUAUAUUAUUUUAUUGUCAUCAUUUUAGUAUGUUACAUAUUUUGUUGUGCAUGUACUGAUAUACCAAAUCUGUUGAAAAAAUGUAUACACAUUUUAGGUAAAAAAAAUAGUAUUAUGUUUUUUCAGCAGAUGGGAUUACCUUCAUACGGGGAACCCUAGAGGAUGUUGUGUAUCACAAAAAAAAACAGCUAUACUGCUGGCACUUAGAGAAGAAACUGAAAAUGCAUGCCCAGCAAUCUCAACGACCAAGAUUAUCCAAGCAGCAGUUUGGAAGCUCAUGGCCACCACUCUGAGUACUGCUUAUAAUUAUAGAGACCAAAGAAGCUGCCCAGGACUGGUACUGCCCUUGGGGUUUACAGUAUUAGCUCUCCUUUGGGAGAAGCAAGGAAUGUCCCAGCUGGCUUCUGAGGACCGGCUGCCAUCUCUACCCAUGCUGCAUGCUGGUGAGUCCUUAUACUACCAAAGGGUACAAGAGUUCACGCAACAGCCAAGCUGGAGAAAUGGAGGAAAGUGGUUCUGCAGAUUCUCCAUCUUAGGGUGUGUGUGUGUGUGUGUGUGUGUGUGUGUGUGUGUGUGUGUGUGUGUGCGUGUGUGUGUGUGUGUGUGUGUGUGAGAGAGAGACAGACAGACAGACAGACAGACCCCUCCUGACCGGGACUGACAGUUCUGUGGCAUGCAGCAGGACCUUACUGAAUGCAAGCUGCAUUUGCAGUUCUGUCUUUAAUGUUACUUUAGACCUGUUCCUCAGGCAAGAGAGCCUCCUUUUGCGUUUGCACUUUUCUCCUUUACACGUCAUCACUUAUCAUUGCCUCUUGUCCAUCCUGCAGUGCUUCUGUUGUUUGAAAUAUUCAAACUUACUCCACCUUCCCUCAACGCUGGGGCUCCGUGUUGCUGUACUCAUGUACAGGUGAGCACUCUACACUCAGAACGGUCGACCCACGCAGCCAAGCCCACCCACCCUGCAAAGUCCACUCGCCCCAGCCCCCAUCCUUCAUUGGCACAUACUUUCUGAGCUACAACUUGGUACCUGUUCCCUUUGUCCCGGAGUCUGACUCAGACCUCUCGCUUCCCCUAACAGCAGCGGCUUUGCUGUCCUCCCCUGGUGUUCAUCCUUCUUCCUUUCAAUCUCCUCUCCCACAGCACCCAGGGAGACUUCUGCACAUUCGCUCUUGCCCUGGGUUUGACCCCUGCCCUCUCCUCCUUCCUUGUGGCUUCUUUUGGGGACUUUAAGCACUCCCUGGCUUUGUCUGUUUCCUCGUAUCUCCUUUUCUCUUACAUCUUUCUUUUCAUCUUCUGCUGACCCUGUGUGGUCCAUUUCAUAACUGGAUAUAGCUCAGUGUGAAGGCUCUGGGUUCAAUCACCAGUACCAGAAAAAGAAGGAAAAGGGAGAGAAGUAGGAGGAGAAGGAGAGGGGAGAGGGAGGGGAGACAGAUGGGGAAAAGGAGGAGGAAGAAGAGGAGAAGGAGAAAGAGGGGGAGUGGAGAAGGAGGGGAAGGAGGAGGAGAAACAAAAGGAAGAGGGGUGUAAGAAGAGGAACAGGGGUGGGAGAGGAAGGAGACUGUGAAAAUAUUGCAAGGGCUGGCUUUUGUCCACAGUGUGAGGAUUCUCCUGCUUCCUCACCAAGUUUCCCUUCCUGACAACCCACUGUCACAGGGAACCCAACCACUGGCUCCCCCACUUGUUGGGGAUGUCCCUUCUGAGGACAUGGGUGAGGCCGCAAGAGCUGAACUCACCUUGGUGCUCCACGGCUUCCCUGUGCUGUGCAGGCUUGUGGGAAGUGGAGGGCAUCCUGAGCUUGCAGUAGAAACUGCUGGCUGCUCCCCACUUGCACUUCCUCUUCUUUCUCCUGUAACAGGUCCCCCACAUUCUAGCUGGGCACAUACCUCCCAGCUGGAGACAACAUGUUCCAGCUUACCUUGCAACUGCUGAGGUCAUGCAACUUCCUUCUGGCCAAUGGGACAUGCGUAAAUCAGAUGGUGCAUAUCUCAGUCCAUGCCUUGGGAGACAGGGUGAGAACACGGCCCCUCACCUGCUGUACUGGAUUAACAAAUGGUCAGUUUAUAACACCCAGCUGAACCGAAUCAGCGUGGUGCUGGGUGUGGAAGUCCCACCUGAGGAUUGUUGCCAACAGCAUAAAAGGAGAACUGGAGGGGGAGAUGGUGUGCUGUUGAUUCUCUUGGAGAAGCUUGUUGUGCUGGCUUCCCUGGUAUGAGCUCGGCUGUUCUUAUCAUUGGAGGAGCUCUGGUCCUCACUGUUGCUGAGGAUGACUGUGGUUCUCUUUGGGGGGAAUCUUGUUCUUACCUUGAGCAUCCCUUCCUGGCUCCAUUGCAGAUCCCUCAGCCUGCUGACACCGAUCCUUCAUUCCGCGGGUACAGACUUUCUAGCUUCCAUCACUGAGUGCAGACCCUUGAUACAGACUUGCAUAAGAUAUUGUCAUGGGCUCUAGGCCUCCCACUGGACUUGUGGAGGACAUUGCCAUGGGAUCCAGGCCCUCAGCUGGAUUCUUUGGGUCUCUAGUGUGUGGACAGAUCUCCCACAUUCUUUUGCAUUUGACUCUUUGGGUGAAUAUUACAAAAUAAUACAAUAAAUUAUGUAUCUUGUACUAAAUUCAUUCCCUUGUAAACUCUGACUACAACACCUGCCCACACCAGCAGGCCCUUUGUGCCUUCUAAAAUCUGCACCCUAGAACCUGGAAGAGCAACAAAAGAGGAGCCUGUGUGCCAGAGCCACCACAUAAGCCCAGUUUGCUGACUUUCAGACUAUUAGAGGAAAAUAAACUUUUACCUUGCUUGAACCGUGGAAUUUGGGGACUUCUUUGUUACAGCAUCUUGAUCCACAUGCUACCUGGUACAGUGAUUGAUAGAUGGUCCUUUCCCCUCUGUGUGACUUGGGGGCAGACACUGAGCAGGCUAAGAUGGGAGGGAGGUUGUAAUGUCUAGAUUUUCUGUUCUGUGACCUUUCAAACUUUUCCCUACUACAGAUCGUUGCAGGACACAGGCGUGCAAUGUCACCACCCGCUUUCUCAGCUCACAGGCCUAGACAAGGACUC